CAUUACAUAUUUGUUUUGAAUCCCCAAUUACCGCGAGACAAAUUGUGUUUAUUCUGAACAAAGUAUGGAUAAAUUUCUUUACAAUUCUGCAUUUAAGUGUGUAGAUUCAUCUGUAUUGAAUCAUGCUGGAGCCAUUGUUAUAUGUGAAUCAUAUAAACAGUAAAACUACAGAAACGCAUUGGUUAUUGUUGUUGGAGUUGCACGCUAAUUGGACAAUCAAUACGAGCGACGGCUUGGUCUUGCCUCGUAAUAUAAAGACUAUUAAAAAAGAUUCGUUUAAGGUAUGGACAAUUAUUGAUGUCUACAUAGAUACAUUGCAUGUGUAACCGAACCGUCUUAUUAAACGAGUGGUGGUACCCGCAAGGGCGGUUACAUGAACCGACACAGGGCAAAGGCAGGGAGGUUGGGUGUGAAAAACAACCGAGGUGUGUUUAUUUUCAAUACAAUCUAUUCAAAAUUCAAGUCAUUCAAAUGACAUAAAUACUGUAUCAAAGUUAUAUAUAAAUAGGAAACUAUAAAUGUCUUAGUCACACCUAGCUGCUCAAGCAAGCUAUAAUGUUAGCUUUAGACUUCAUAAGUAUGAAAUAAUUUCGUGUCACAAAUUGACAAUCAACAGUACAAUACCUUAUAACAAAACCAAACUCUAAGUAAAUGCUUUCUAACUCUAUAAAAUUGAUCAACAGAGAAAAUUCACAUCUCAGGAGCAAUUAAUACUUUUAAAUUGAAAACCUAUGGUAAAACAAUAAAACAAUGUGAAUGGUCCACAGGGAACCCACGCACUUACUUCACAAUGCUGUUGGAAAUACAAAGGGUGAAGAUAUCGUCAGAAGACAGAUAACUUAAGGAAAAUGAUUUAGUCGGUGUUUAAGUAGACAGAAAAAAUGUGUAAAAAUAGAUGCAAUCAAUAUCUCGCAGUGAAUAUUUAUGAAUAUAAAUUAAUGGAUUUUGUGAAGCUUCACGGCAUGUAUGUAUUAAACGGUAGAACAC
Molecule: long non-coding RNA, 987 nt
Organism: Mya arenaria
Lineage: Eukaryota; Metazoa; Mollusca; Bivalvia; Myida; Myidae
Exons: 3
Source: RefSeq, a predicted model, not a curated record